Hippocampus comes (tiger tail seahorse) is the source of this 925-nucleotide long non-coding RNA. RefSeq lists it as uncharacterized. The record is from RefSeq and is a predicted model, not a curated record. The transcript is spliced from 4 exons. NCBI's taxonomy places the organism in Eukaryota, Metazoa, Chordata, Actinopteri, Syngnathiformes, Syngnathidae.
GUGGCAGCCGCCGAGGUCAACUCAUCCUCCAAAGUGCCCAUCGUCGUCGGGGCGGUCCCCUGCGCUGCCCGCUCACCUUGGUUGACAGGCCCCAGUUCCAGUUGAAGAAAAAUGGCCGCUGUUGAAGAUGCUGAGGCCAGCACCAAACCUCACUGUCGCCCUCCCUCCAUCUUGUUCCGGCCAGCUUCCCUCAAUUACUGUCACAGGCGGCCCACAACAUUGCAGGGGGGGCGAAGCCGAGCGGGGGGGAGAAACGACGCACGUGAUGAGAAGAGGAGACAGCCGUGACAUCGUAAGAAUUGGAAUUUACAGCUGAUAUCCCAGCAGCAGGUGCUUGCUGGGAGCAGAGGGACCUUAAUAAACGCGCCGCACGCCACCUGCAGCUGCACACGCAUGAAGACAAGACAAGGGUGGUGAUUAGCGGCAUCAGCACACGCAGCAUUUGACUGCUACACACCGAAUGGAUUCCGGGGACGGCGUCACCUCCAAAGUUGAACGCAAUCCGUUCGGCGACGCCGUUUGAUUUUUCGGAGGCAAUUUUCCUCAUGGGAGGUCAUGGAAGGUGAAUUCAUUUCUUAAAAGAAAAAAAAGUCAUCAAAUCUGUAUGUACUGUAGUGAUGCAUGCCAAAUUUGUAAAUGUCAUCAUAAAUGGAACGAGAAGUUAACCGCUGAGUGAUCAAACUGAAAUAAAGUAAAACUACUUCCACUUCAAAGUGGCACAAUGGUGAGUGAGCGCGAUAAAACGAGACAUGACACCUUCACAAAUUCAUUCGCAGAAAUAACGCCAUCAAAAUGUCUGUCUGCUGUUGUGUGACUGCAAAAUGACUGCCAUACUUCAGAACACAAGAUCCCUCUGCUGUAUUGCAACAACGUCAUCAUUCUCCCUCCACUGGCAUCAACAAGUGGGUGAAGUAAAAAUGGAUAC